AGCUGCAGGUUGAAUAGUACCCCCUCCCCCAGAUUCACAUCCUCCAAGAACCAGAAUGCAAGAGCGUCUGCACAGACAUGGUUAAGUGAGAAUCUUGGGAUGGCAACACCCUAGAUGCAGGGAAUGCAUGCUCUGUCAUGUCUGACUCUUUGUGAGCCCAUGGACUGCAGCCUGCCAGGCUCCUCUUCUGUCCAUGCGAUUUCCCAGCAGCCCCAGGAAAUGAACAUCCCUGAAGACGAGGGAACAAAGACAGUGCUGCUGAGAUCCGAUCCUCUUCCCUGUGAGGGUCCCCUCGGCGAUGUCUCAGCUUCGCCCCUGCAUUCCUGACCCCCUCGGACAAGACUGUCUCCCAGUGGAUGACACAGGAAAGAGCUCCUCCUCCCUCCAUGACCGGUCAGUUCUCGUUGUCACCUCAUUGUCACCCAAACGUCUGAAGAUUUAACUCCGGGUCCUUGGCAACCAGCCCAGGCCACGCCCAGCAGGUGCCCCCGGCCUGAGCAAGGGUCGGUGCCCAGAGGCUCUGCCCUUCUGCAAGCCAGGACAGUUUCCCGGCCUGAGGUAAGGACAGAAAACUCGAAGUCCAGCUCUGCCCCAGAGAACCUUCCAGAUCACCCAGCAUCAGCCCCUCAGUCGUAACUUCCUGGGGGCUUUGACCCGGCCUCCCACGGCCGCCCUCCUCCCCACCCGGCGGGCAGCCUCCAGGAGCUUUGCAGUGAGGGUUUCGUUCUCUCUCUCUGUGGCUACUUACAGGUCUUUGGAAACGAGAGGCCCCUCAGAAGGGCCAGCUGUCCCUGGGACCGGGUGACUUCUCACGGCCGUCUGCGGGCAGUACCCACUCGGGGCUGAGCACCAGGUCAGCCCUGCGGCCAGAAUCCUGGCGGCUCCUUCUUUCAGGGCCUUUUCCUGUCGUAAAAGACAUUCCUGUUCAGUACAAACUUUGUUUCUUUUGUUUCCAGUGAUGUUCAAAGAACACAGUAAAAA
Molecule: long non-coding RNA, 981 nt
Organism: Bos taurus (domestic cattle)
Lineage: Eukaryota; Metazoa; Chordata; Mammalia; Artiodactyla; Bovidae
Source: Ensembl